AUGUGGCGUGUUGGAGCCGCGGUUAGGUCGUUUCGCUGGCGAGUUAGAAGAGGCGGAGGAGUUAGCGUGCGCGGGGCGGGGGCGGCGCGCAUACGUACACACUAUAGAGCACAAUGCGGCAUCGGGCUGCGUCGACGUGGUCUGCGCGCCCGCGUCCUGCCCGCGCCGGCUGUCAUAAAUAUACUCAACAUGGCAGCCGCUGCCUCCACAACAGCGCCGACUGAAGCCCGAGAAGCCGCGUCAGCCAGCCUCGGCGUGACGCGGCCGCACUUUGUAUAACCUGCACGCCACUUGCGAUUGAUCAUUAUACUCUAUUGCGCUCAAAAUGUACUAUGCAAUGCGAUUUAAUAAUAAAUCUGAUUUAAAUUGAA
Molecule: long non-coding RNA, 371 nt
Organism: Helicoverpa armigera (cotton bollworm)
Lineage: Eukaryota; Metazoa; Arthropoda; Insecta; Lepidoptera; Noctuidae
Exons: 2
Source: RefSeq, a predicted model, not a curated record